UGACCGCUGAGGCGCGAAGGCGUGGGGAGCAAGCAGGAUUAGAUACCCUGGUAGUCCACGCAGUAAACGAUGAACACUAGGUGUAGCGGGUAUUGACCCCUGCUGUGCCGCAGUUAACGCAUUAAGUGUUCCGCCUGGGGAGUACGACCGCAAGGUUAAAACUCAAAGGAAUUGACGGGGGCCCGCACAAGCGGUGGAGCAUGUGGUUUAAUUCGACGCAACGCGAAGAACCUUACCUGGAUUUGACAUCCCGGGAAGUCCCUUGAAAAAGGGAUGUGCCCUUCGGGGAACCCGGUGACAGGUGCUGCAUGGCUGUCGUCAGCUCGUGUCGUGAGAUGUUGGGUUGAGUCCCGCAACGAGCGCAACCCCUAUCUUUAGUUACCAUCAUUAAGUUGGGGACUCUAAAGAUACUGCCCCGGUUAACGGGGAGGAAGGUGGGGAUGACGUCAAGUCCUCAUGGCCUUUAUGUCCAGGGCUACAUACGUACUACAAUGGGCUAUACAAAGGGUCGCAACCCCGCGAGGGUGAGCCAAUCCCACAAAGUAGCUCUAAGUCCGGAUUGGAGUCUGCAACUCGACUCCAUGAAGUUGGAAUCGCUAGUAAUCGUGGAUCAGCAUGCCACGGUGAAUACGUUCCCGGGCCUUGUACACACCGCCCGUCACACCAUGAGAGUUGGUUGUACCAGAAGUCGUUGGGCCAACCCCGUUAUGCGGGGAGGCAGGCGCCUAAGGUAUGGCUGAUGGUUGGGGUG
This 751-nucleotide ribosomal RNA is filed under the name uncultured bacterium. Its description in RNAcentral is "bacterial SSU rRNA". It matches the Rfam family "Bacterial small subunit ribosomal RNA", at positions 741 to 1482 of the family's 1533-position model. The record is from RNAcentral.